CGUAGGAUCCAAGCGCUAUCCGGAUUUACUGGGCGUAAAGCGUGCGUAGGCGGCUCGUUAAGUGCUAUGCGAAAUCAUCUGGCUCAACCAGGUGACUGUAUAGCAUACUGGCGGGCUAGAGGAUGGCAGAGGCAAGUGGAAUUUGCGGUGUAGCAGUGAAAUGCGUAAAUAUCGCAAGGAACACCAAUGGCGAAGGCAGCUUGCUGGGCCACACCUGACGCUGAGUCACGAAAGCGUGGGGAGCGAACAGGAUUAGAUACCCUGGUAGUCCACGCCGUAAACGAUGGAUGCUAUUAGUGUAGAGUAUCGACCCUCUGCGUUGAGAAGCUAACGCGUUAAGCAUCCCGCCUGGGGAGUACGAGCGCAAGCUUA
RNAcentral lists this ribosomal RNA (372 nucleotides) under uncultured organism. RNAcentral's name for it is "bacterial SSU rRNA". It matches the Rfam family "Bacterial small subunit ribosomal RNA", at positions 526 to 896 of the family's 1533-position model. The record is from RNAcentral.